UUAUAAUGAAUUUCCAAAGUCGGAACAGGGAAUCUAGAAACCGUUCUGGCCCUGUAUUACGAAAACUUAAAUAUCUCAUAAUAUACUGUUCAUAUAAUCGUUUCGUUACUUUCCUAUGAAAAUAGAUUCAUUAAGGUUCUAUUACAUAGUUUAUUCACUAUUUAAUUCCAUUCCUACUAUUUUUAGUGAUUUUUCACAUUC
Molecule: long non-coding RNA, 201 nt
Filed under: Gossypium barbadense (sea-island cotton)
Lineage: Eukaryota; Viridiplantae; Streptophyta; Magnoliopsida; Malvales; Malvaceae
Description: long non-coding RNA (GBAR_LNC003145)
Source: RNAcentral